AACGUAGGAGGCGAGCGUUAUCCGGAGUUACUGGGCGUAAAGAGCGUGUAGGCGGGUAUGCAAGUUUGGGGUGAAAGCUCCCGGCUAAACUGGGAGACUGCGUUGAAGACUGCGUAUCUAGAGGCAAGUAGAGGGACGUGGAAUUCCGGGUGUAGUGGUGAAAUGCGUAGAGAUCCGGAGGAACACCAGUGGCGAAGGCGACGUCCUGGGCUUGACCUGACGCUGAGGCGCGAAAGCCAGGGGAGCAAACGGG
This 253-nucleotide ribosomal RNA is filed under the name uncultured bacterium. Its description in RNAcentral is "partial 16S ribosomal RNA". It matches the Rfam family "Bacterial small subunit ribosomal RNA", at positions 524 to 776 of the family's 1533-position model. The record is from RNAcentral.